AAGUCGUAACAAGGUUUCCGUAGGUGAACCUGCGGAAGGAUCAUUAACAAAUCUAUGAGCGAAAGCUCAUCAACCUUUGUGAAUUGGGUUGUGUAGUUGGUAACAAUUAUUCAACUUUGUUGGGGACCCUUUGUGUAUGUAAUGUAAUGUAAUAUAAUGUAAUAUAAUGUAAUAUAAUAGAAAGAUUAUUUCGAAAGAUUUAAUUUUUCUAUUGCAUGCAUGCAUAUCAUAUUAUAUCAUAUCAUAUCAUAUAUAAUAUUAACAUUGUCUGAUUAUAGAUUGAAGUCGUAAGAUUUCAAAUAAAAAUACAACUUUUAACAAUGGAUCUCUAGGCUCUU
RNAcentral lists this unclassified non-coding RNA (338 nucleotides) under fungal sp. Its description in RNAcentral is "partial internal transcribed spacer region". The stretch from base 1 to 46 matches the Rfam family "Eukaryotic small subunit ribosomal RNA", at positions 1786 to 1831 of the family's 1831-position model. The record is from RNAcentral. Lineage: Eukaryota; Fungi.